GCGGAGGGCCGGAUGGCCGCGUGAGGGGCAACCCUCGCGAGGAAAGUCCGGACUCCACAUGACAAAGGUGCCGGGUAACGCCCGGGCAGGGCAACCUGACGGAGAGCGCCACAGAAAUGAAACCGCCUGUCCCCCCAUGGGUUCGCCUGCAGGGACCAAGGGGCAGGUAAGGAUGAAACGGUGGGGUAAGAGCCCACCGCGCCCCUGGCAACAGGGGUGGCACGGCAAGCCCCACCUGGAGCAAUGCCAAAUAGGAUCCCCGCGCGGGCAGCGUCGGUUUAGGCCGAUACCUCCGCUAGGCACGACAUGACCGAGAGGGAUCGGGUUGGCAGCUAGAGGGUCCUGGCAACAGGUCCCCCAGAGGAAUGGUCAUCAAAGGGGGCAACCCCGGAACAAAAUCCGGCUUAUAGGCCCUCCGCGCAA
This 423-nucleotide RNase P RNA is filed under the name Phaeobacter gallaeciensis. Its description in RNAcentral is "RNase P RNA component class A". It matches the Rfam family "Bacterial RNase P class A". From Rfam's summary of the family: Ribonuclease P (RNase P) is a ubiquitous endoribonuclease, found in archaea, bacteria and eukarya as well as chloroplasts and mitochondria. Its best characterised activity is the generation of mature 5'-ends of tRNAs by cleaving the 5'-leader elements of precursor-tRNAs. The record is from RNAcentral. RNAcentral also lists the same sequence under 1 other name. Lineage: Bacteria; Pseudomonadati; Pseudomonadota; Alphaproteobacteria; Rhodobacterales; Roseobacteraceae.